CUUCUUGAAAUUAUUGGAGGUCGUGCCUGCUCACUGAAUAAUUGAAGAGCUGCGGUAUUUUGACCGUGCAAAGGUAGCAUAAUCAUUAGUCUUUUAAUUGAGGGCUGGAAUGAAUGGUUUGACGAAAUAAUAAUUGUCUCAUAUUUAUUAAUUAAAUUUUACUUUUAAGUUAAAAGGCUUAGAUAAUAAAUGGGGACGAGAAGACCCUAUAGAUCUUUAUUUUUUAUUUGUGUUAUAUUAUUUAUUAUAAUUGUAAUAUAGGUGUGGAAAAUUUUAUUGGGGUGAUGUGAGAAUAUAAAAACUUCUUAAUUAUUUAUGCUUUGAUUAAUGGAAUUAAGAUCCUUUAUUAUGGAAUUUAGAUUAAGAUACCUUAGGGAUAACAGCGUUAUUUUAUUUGAGAGUUCUUAUCGACAAUAAAGAUUGCGACCUCGAUGUUGAAUUAAGAUGAUAAUUUGGUGUAGAAGUUAAAUUUAUUAGUCUGUUC
Molecule: ribosomal RNA, 484 nt
Filed under: Pentacentrus cf. biroi ICCM-2015
Lineage: Eukaryota; Metazoa; Arthropoda; Insecta; Orthoptera; Gryllidae
Description: partial 16S ribosomal RNA
Rfam family: Bacterial large subunit ribosomal RNA
Source: RNAcentral